RNAcentral lists this ribosomal RNA (280 nucleotides) under Brochymena sp. WCW-2007. RNAcentral's name for it is "partial 28S ribosomal RNA". It matches the Rfam family "Eukaryotic large subunit ribosomal RNA", at positions 691 to 924 of the family's 3401-position model. The record is from RNAcentral. Lineage: Eukaryota; Metazoa; Arthropoda; Insecta; Hemiptera; Pentatomidae.
UCAUUGGGUGCAAAACCUAAAGGCGUAAUGAAAGUGUCCCGGGGUGCCUCUCAUGAAUGCGCCCCGUCGGGAGGAUGGGCCGCCGUACGAUUACUCGUCGGAGCCCCGCACUCCCGGGGCGUCUCGUUCUCAUUACGAGUGGAGACGCACCAGGAGCGCACACGCUGGUACCCGAAAGAUGGUGAACUAUGCCUGGCCAGGACGAAGCCAGGGGAAACCCUGGUGGAGGUCCGAAGCGAUUCUGACGUGCAAAUCGAUCGUCUGAGCUGGGUAUAGCGGC